This 492-nucleotide ribosomal RNA is filed under the name uncultured bacterium. RNAcentral describes it as "partial 16S ribosomal RNA". It matches the Rfam family "Bacterial small subunit ribosomal RNA", at positions 29 to 507 of the family's 1533-position model. The record is from RNAcentral.
AGUGAACGCUGGCGGUAGGCCUAACACAUGCCAGUCGAACGGCAGCACAGUAAGAGCUUGCUCUUACGGGUGGCGAGUGGCGGACGGGUGAGGAAUACAUCGGAAUCUACUUUUUCGUGGGGGAUAACGUAGGGAAACUUACGCUAAUACCGCAUACGACCUACGGGUGAAAGCAGUGGAUCUUCGGACCUUGCGCGAUUGAAUGAGCCGAUGUCGGAUUAGCUAGUUGGCGGGGUAAAGGCCCACCAAGGCGACGAUCCGUAGCUGGUCUGAGAGGAUGAUCAGCCACACUGGAACUGAGACACGGUCCAGACUCCUACGGGAGGCAGCAGUGGGGAAUAUUGGACAAUGGGCGCAAGCCUGAUCCAGCCAUACCGCGUGGGUGAAGAAGGCCUUCGGGUUGUAAAGCCCUUUUGUUGGGAAAGAAAAGCAGCAGGUUAAUACCCCGCUGUUCUGACGGUACCCAAAGAAUAAGCACCGGCUAACUUCGUG